UGGGGAAUAUUGCACAAUGGGCGCAAGCCUGAUGCAGCAACGCCGCGUGAGUGAUGAAGGUCUUCGGGUUGUAAAGCUCUGUCUUUUGGGACGAUAAUGACGGUACCAAAGGAGGAAGCCACGGCUAACUACGUGCCAGCAGCCGCGGUAAUACGUAGGUGGCAAGCGUUGUCCGGAUUUACUGGGCGUAAAGGAUGCGUAGGCGGAUUUUUAAGUGAGAUGUGAAAACCCUAAGCUUAACUUGGGGACUGCAUUUCAUACUGGAAAUCUAGAGUGCGGGAGAGGAGAAUGGAAUUCCUAGUGUAGCGGUGAAAAUGCGUAGAGAUUAGGAAGAACACCAGUGGCGAAGGCGAUUCUCUGGACCGUAACUGACGCUGAGGCAUGAAAGCGUGGGUAGCAAACAGGAUUAGAUACCCUGGUAGUCCACGCCGUAAACGAUGAGUACUAGGUGUAGGAGGUAUCGACCCCUUCUGUGCCGCAGUUAACACAAUAAGUACUCCGCCUGGGAAGUACGAUCGCAAGAUU
This 525-nucleotide ribosomal RNA is filed under the name uncultured bacterium. RNAcentral describes it as "partial 16S ribosomal RNA". It matches the Rfam family "Bacterial small subunit ribosomal RNA", at positions 355 to 895 of the family's 1533-position model. The record is from RNAcentral.